AGGAAUAUUGGUCAAUGGGCGAGAGCCUGAACCAGCCAAGUAGCGUGAAGGAUGAAGGUCCUACGGAUUGUAAACUUCUUUUAUACGGGAAUAAAGUUUCCUACGUGUAGGAUUUUGUAUGUACCGUAUGAAUAAGCAUCGGCUAACUCCGUGCCAGCAGCCGCGGUAAUACGGAGGAUGCGAGCGUUAUCCGGAUUUAUUGGGUUUAAAGGGAGCGCAGACGGGAGAUUAAGUCAGUUGUGAAAGUUUGCGGCUCAACCGUAAAAUUGCAGUUGAUACUGGUUUCCUUGAGUGCAGUUGAGGCAGGCGGAAUUCGUGGUGUAGCGGUGAAAUGCUUAGAUAUCACGAAGAACCCCGAUUGCGAAGGCAGCUUGCUAAACUGUAACUGACGUUCAUGCUCGAAAGUGUGGGUAUCAAACAGGAUUAGAUACCCUGGUAGUCCACACGGUAAACGAUGGAUACUCGCUGUUGGCGAUAUACUGUCAGCGGCCAAGCGAAAGCAUUAAGUAUCCCACCUGGGGAGUACGCCGGCAACGGUGAAACUCAAAGGAAUUGACGGGGGCCCGCACAAGCGGAGGAACAUGUGGUUUAAUUCGAUGAUACGCGAGGAACCUUACCCGGGCUUAAAUUGCAGACGAAUUACGAGGAAACUUGUAAGCCGCAAGGCGUCUGUGAAGGUGCUGCAUGGUUGUCGUCAGCUCGUGCCGUGAGGUGUCGGCUUAAGUGCCAUAACGAGCGCAACCCUCGUGGUCAGUUACUAACAGGUUAAGCUGAGGACUCUGGCCAGACUGCCAUCGUAAGAUGUGAGGAAGGUGGGGAUGACGUCAAAUCAGCACGGCCCUUACGUCCGGGGCUACACACGUGUUACAAUGGGAGGUACAGAAGGCAGCUACCCGGCGACAGGAUGCCAAUCCCGAAAGCCGCUCUCAGUUCGGACUGGAGUCUGCAACCCGACUCCACGAAGCUGGAUUCGCUAGUAAUCGCGCAUCAGCCGCGGCGCGGUGAAUACGUUCCCG
Molecule: ribosomal RNA, 1016 nt
Filed under: uncultured bacterium
Lineage: Bacteria
Description: bacterial SSU rRNA
Rfam family: Bacterial small subunit ribosomal RNA
Source: RNAcentral